RNAcentral lists this ribosomal RNA (552 nucleotides) under uncultured bacterium. Its description in RNAcentral is "partial 16S ribosomal RNA". It matches the Rfam family "Bacterial small subunit ribosomal RNA", at positions 355 to 902 of the family's 1533-position model. The record is from RNAcentral.
UGGGGAAUUUUGGACAAUGGGCGAAAGCCUGAUCCAGCAAUGCCGCGUGUGUGAAGAAGGCCUUCGGGUUGUAAAGCACUUUUGUCCGGAAAGAAAUCUUGGCUCUAAUACAGUCGGGGGAUGACGGUACCGGAAGAAUAAGCACCGGCUAACUACGUGCCAGCAGCCGCGGUAAUACGUAGGGUGCAAGCGUUAAUCGGAAUUACUGGGCGUAAAGCGUGCGCAGGCGGUUUGCUAAGACCGAUGUGAAAUCCCCGGGCUCAACCUGGGAACUGCAUUGGUGACUGGCAGGCUAGAGUAUGGCAGAGGGGGUAGAAUUCCGCGUGUAGCAGUGAAAUGCGUAGAGAUGUGGAGGAAUACCGAUGGCGAAGGCAGCCCCCUGGGCCAAUACUGACGCUCAUGCACGAAAGCGUGGGGAGCAAACAGGAUUAGAUACCCUGGUAGUCCACGCCCUAAACGAUGUCAACUAGUUGUUGGGGAUUCAUUUCCUUAGUAACGUAGCUAACGCGUGAAGUUGACCGCCUGGGGAGUACGGUCGCAAGAUUAAAACUC